Molecule: ribosomal RNA, 1540 nt
Filed under: Klebsiella aerogenes
Lineage: Bacteria; Pseudomonadati; Pseudomonadota; Gammaproteobacteria; Enterobacterales; Enterobacteriaceae
Description: bacterial SSU rRNA
Rfam family: Bacterial small subunit ribosomal RNA
Source: RNAcentral
AAAUUGAAGAGUUUGAUCAUGGCUCAGAUUGAACGCUGGCGGCAGGCCUAACACAUGCAAGUCGAGCGGUAACACAGAGAGCUUGCUCUCGGGUGACGAGCGGCGGACGGGUGAGUAAUGUCUGGGAAACUGCCUGAUGGAGGGGGAUAACUACUGGAAACGGUAGCUAAUACCGCAUAACGUCGUAAGACCAAAGUGGGGGACCUUCGGGCCUCAUGCCAUCAGAUGUGCCCAGAUGGGAUUAGCUAGUAGGUGGGGUAAUGGCUCACCUAGGCGACGAUCCCUAGCUGGUCUGAGAGGAUGACCAGCCACACUGGAACUGAGACACGGUCCAGACUCCUACGGGAGGCAGCAGUGGGGAAUAUUGCACAAUGGGCGCAAGCCUGAUGCAGCCAUGCCGCGUGUAUGAAGAAGGCCUUCGGGUUGUAAAGUACUUUCAGCGAGGAGGAAGGCGUUAAGGUUAAUAACCUUAGCGAUUGACGUUACUCGCAGAAGAAGCACCGGCUAACUCCGUGCCAGCAGCCGCGGUAAUACGGAGGGUGCAAGCGUUAAUCGGAAUUACUGGGCGUAAAGCGCACGCAGGCGGUCUGUCAAGUCGGAUGUGAAAUCCCCGGGCUCAACCUGGGAACUGCAUUCGAAACUGGCAGGCUAGAGUCUUGUAGAGGGGGGUAGAAUUCCAGGUGUAGCGGUGAAAUGCGUAGAGAUCUGGAGGAAUACCGGUGGCGAAGGCGGCCCCCUGGACAAAGACUGACGCUCAGGUGCGAAAGCGUGGGGAGCAAACAGGAUUAGAUACCCUGGUAGUCCACGCCGUAAACGAUGUCGACUUGGAGGUUGUGCCCUUGAGGCGUGGCUUCCGGAGCUAACGCGUUAAGUCGACCGCCUGGGGAGUACGGCCGCAAGGUUAAAACUCAAAUGAAUUGACGGGGGCCCGCACAAGCGGUGGAGCAUGUGGUUUAAUUCGAUGCAACGCGAAGAACCUUACCUACUCUUGACAUCCAGAGAACUUAGCAGAGAUGCUUUGGUGCCUUCGGGAACUCUGAGACAGGUGCUGCAUGGCUGUCGUCAGCUCGUGUUGUGAAAUGUUGGGUUAAGUCCCGCAACGAGCGCAACCCUUAUCCUUUGUUGCCAGCGGUCCGGCCGGGAACUCAAAGGAGACUGCCAGUGAUAAACUGGAGGAAGGUGGGGAUGACGUCAAGUCAUCAUGGCCCUUACGAGUAGGGCUACACACGUGCUACAAUGGCAUAUACAAAGAGAAGCGACCUCGCGAGAGCAAGCGGACCUCAUAAAGUAUGUCGUAGUCCGGAUUGGAGUCUGCAACUCGACUCCAUGAAGUCGGAAUCGCUAGUAAUCGUAGAUCAGAAUGCUACGGUGAAUACGUUCCCGGGCCUUGUACACACCGCCCGUCACACCAUGGGAGUGGGUUGCAAAAGAAGUAGGUAGCUUAACCUUCGGGAGGGCGCUUACCACUUUGUGAUUCAUGACUGGGGUGAAGUCGUAACAAGGUAACCGUAGGGGAACCUGCGGUUGGAUCACCUCCUUA